AGUACGACCGCAAGGUUAAAACUCAAAUGAAUUGACGGGGACCCGCACAAGUAGUGGAGCAUGUGGUUUAAUUCGAAGAUACGCGCAGAACCUUACCAACACUUGACAUGUUCGUCGCGACUCUAAGAGAUUAGAGUUUUCGGUUCGGCCGGACGAAACACAGGUGCUGCAUGGCUGUCGUCAGCUCGUGUCGUGAGAUGUUGGGUUAAGUCCCGCAACGAGCGCAACCCUCACUUUUAGUUGCCAUCAUUAAGUUGGGCACUCUGAAAGAACUGCCAGUGAUAAGCUGGAGGAAGGUGGGGAUGACGUCAAGUCCUCAUGGCCCUUACGUGUUGGGCUACACACGUGCUACAAUGGCAUCUACAACAGGAAGCAAAACGGCAACGUUAAGCAAAUCCCGAAAAGAUGCCUCAGUUCGGAUUGCGCUCUGCAACUCGAGUGCAUGAAGCUGGAAUUACUAGUAAUCGUGGAUCAGCGUGCCACGGUGAAUGCGUUCCCGGGUCUUGUACACACCGCCCGUCACACCAUGGGAGUUGGUUCUACCUUAAGGCAAGGUUUUAAACCCUUGACCACGGUAUAGUCAGCGACUGGGGUGAAGUCGUAACAAGGUAACC
Molecule: ribosomal RNA, 614 nt
Filed under: uncultured marine bacterium
Lineage: Bacteria
Description: bacterial SSU rRNA
Rfam family: Bacterial small subunit ribosomal RNA
Source: RNAcentral